CAAAGUGCCAGAGAUUUGAUCAUCAUUGGGAAAAUAUAUGGUUGCUGACACAUUCCUACAGGAAAAUGGAUCACAUAAUACUUUGGGAUAACCAGUUACUCAUGUGAAUGAAAAGGACUCUUUUCAGGCUAAUGAAAUGUGAUAUGAACUCUCAUUAAAUAUUUACAACCAUAUAUCAGAUAAUGUUAACUGAAUAUUUGACACAAGUGACAAAGAGUAAUUCAAAUAACCUGAACAAUAAUGAGCUGAACAACAGAGUGAAGGAAAUUGUUUUUUGGUAUUACAGCUGACGAGUCUGUACAUGAA
Molecule: long non-coding RNA, 306 nt
Organism: Athalia rosae (coleseed sawfly)
Lineage: Eukaryota; Metazoa; Arthropoda; Insecta; Hymenoptera; Athaliidae
Exons: 2
Source: RefSeq, a predicted model, not a curated record